RNAcentral lists this transfer RNA (72 nucleotides) under Bradysia impatiens. RNAcentral describes it as "tRNA-Asn". The record is from RNAcentral. Lineage: Eukaryota; Metazoa; Arthropoda; Insecta; Diptera; Sciaridae.
UUAACUAAAAUCAAAAUAGAGCUAUAUUACUGUUAAUAAUAUUAUUGAAUUAUUUUAUAAAUUCUAGUUAAU